RNAcentral lists this ribosomal RNA (449 nucleotides) under uncultured bacterium. RNAcentral describes it as "partial 16S ribosomal RNA". It matches the Rfam family "Bacterial small subunit ribosomal RNA", at positions 29 to 523 of the family's 1533-position model. The record is from RNAcentral.
AACGAACGCUGGCGGCAGGCUUAACACAUGCAAGUCGAACGCAUCCUUCGGGGUGAGUGGCAGACGGGUGAGUAACGCGUGGGAAUCUACCCUGAUCUGCGGGAUAGCUCCGGGAAACUGGAAUUAAUACCGCAUAUGUCCUGAGGGACAAAGAUUCAUCGGUUCAGGAUGAGCCCGCGUCCGAUUAGCUAGUUGGUGGGGUAAAGGCCUACCAAGGCGACGAUCGGUGGCUGGUCUAAGAGGAUGAUCAGCCACAUUGGGACUGAGACGCGGCACAAACUCCUACGGGAGGCAGCAGUGGGGAAUAUUGGACAAUGGGCGCAAGCCUGAUCCAGCCAUGCCGCGUGAGUGAUGAAGGUCUUAGGAUUGUAAAGCUCUUUCACCGGGGACGAUAAUGACGGUACCCGGAGAAGAAGCCCCGGCUAACUUCGUGCCAGCCGCCGCGGUAA